GGGCCAUGGCUUAGUGGCAGAACAUCUGUUUUGCAUGCAGAAGGUCUCUGGUUCAAUCCUGACAUCUCCA
Podarcis lilfordi (Lilford's wall lizard) is the source of this 70-nucleotide non-coding RNA. Lineage: Eukaryota; Metazoa; Chordata; Lepidosauria; Squamata; Lacertidae. The record is from the annotation of a GenBank genome assembly.